GUAGGUGGCAAGCGUUGUCCGGAAUUAUUGGGCGUAAAGCGCGCGCAGGCGGUUCUUUAAGUCUGAUGUGAAAGCCCACGGCUCAACCGUGGAGGGUCAUUGGAAACUGGAGAACUUGAGUACAGAAGAGGAAAGCGGAAUUCCACGUGUAGCGGUGAAAUGCGUAGAGAUGUGGAGGAACACCAGUGGCGAUGGCGGCUUUCUGGUCUGUAACUGACGCUGAGGCGCGAAAGCGUGGGGGAGCAAACAGGAUUAGAUACCCUGGUAGUCCACGCCGUAAACGAUGAGUGCUAAGUGUUAGGGGGUUUCCGCCCCUUAGUGCUGCAGCUAACGCAUUAAGCACUCCGCCUGGGAGUACGGCCGCAAGGCUG
This 371-nucleotide ribosomal RNA is filed under the name uncultured organism. RNAcentral describes it as "partial 16S ribosomal RNA". It matches the Rfam family "Bacterial small subunit ribosomal RNA", at positions 527 to 896 of the family's 1533-position model. The record is from RNAcentral.